ACGCACGCUGGCGGCAGGCCUAACACCUGCCAGUCGAGCGAGGACUUCGGUUCUAGCGGCGGACGGGUGAGUAACGCGUGGGAAUGUGCCCUUCUCUACGGAAUAGCCCUGGGAAACUGGGAGUAAUACCGUAUACGCCCUAUUGGGGAAAGAUUUAUCGGAGAAGGAUCAGCCCGCGUUGGAUUAGGUAGUUGGUGGGGUAAUGGCCUACCAAGCCGACGAUCCAUAGCUGGUUUGAGAGGAUGAUCAGCCACACUGGGACUGAGACACGGCCCAGACUCCUACGGGAGGCAGCAGUGGGGAAUCUUAGACAAUGGGGGCAACCCUGAUCUAGCCAUGCCGCGUGAGUGAUGAAGGCCUUAGGGUUGUAAAGCUCUUUCAGCUGGGAAGAUAAUGACGGUACCAGCAGAAGAAGCCCCGGCUAACUCCGUG
Molecule: ribosomal RNA, 432 nt
Filed under: uncultured bacterium
Lineage: Bacteria
Description: partial 16S ribosomal RNA
Rfam family: Bacterial small subunit ribosomal RNA
Source: RNAcentral